This 421-nucleotide ribosomal RNA is filed under the name uncultured eukaryote. RNAcentral's name for it is "SSU rRNA". It matches the Rfam family "Eukaryotic small subunit ribosomal RNA", at positions 592 to 1018 of the family's 1831-position model. The record is from RNAcentral.
CAAUAGCGUAUAUUUAAGUUGUUGCAGUUAAAAAGCUCGUAGUUGGAUUUCGGGUGGGCGAGGCCGGUCCGCCGUCUCGGUGUGCACUGGCUGCGCCCAUCUUCUUGCUGGGGACGCGCUCCUGGCCUUUGUUGGCUGGGACGUGGAGUCAGCGAUGUUACUUUGAAAAAUUAGAGUGUUCAAAGCAGGCCUUGGCUCUGAAUACAUUAGCAUGGAAUAACACGAUAGGACUCUGGUCUUAUUUUGUUGGUCUUCGGGACCGGAGUAAUGAUUAAUAGGGACAGUUGGGGGCAUUCGUAUUUCAUUGUCAGAGGUGAAAUUCUUGGAUUUAUGAAAGACGAACUUCUGCGAAAGCAUUUGCCAAGGAUGUUUUCAUUGAUCAAGAACGAAAGUUGGGGGCUCGAAGAUGAUCAGAUACCAU